Molecule: long non-coding RNA, 621 nt
Organism: Galleria mellonella (greater wax moth)
Lineage: Eukaryota; Metazoa; Arthropoda; Insecta; Lepidoptera; Pyralidae
Exons: 2
Source: RefSeq, a predicted model, not a curated record
CUGACGAUCGAUAUUUAAAGGGUAUUGUUUUUGUGCUAAAUAUUUCAUAAAAACGUUAUUUAAUACUUUGUGGAUUAUUAAUUUAGUUGAUAAUCACUGGAAGUAAAAUGGAUGCUAAUUUGAGAGAUCAAGAUCUUCGUAUAAAACAGUUAAUAAAAGAAAAUCUACAAAGAAAAAAAUGUCUGCCAAGCCGUAGCCGAAGCCGAUCUCCAAAUAUAUUUGGCGAUAGUGAGACCCAGUGUCCAGAUGAUUUACCCAGCGUCGUCGCAACAAAGAAAAAAAAACGAGGAUAAAGUAAAAGAAAAUUUACUGAAAGAAGAAACAAACUGUUCUAAAUGCUUAAUUUAUGGAGAAGAGGAUAAAAGAAAUGAGUAUUUCGGACUGUUAGUGGCUCAAGAAUUUAAAUAUAUACGGCCAUGUGUGCGAACGAGGUGUUAUGAAGAAAUUUUAAAGUAUCUACGGGAAGCAAAAGGCCAACAUGUUGAUCAACUGCAACAUGAAAACACUGAAAAUUAAUUACUUUCAUUUUAUUAUAUAUAGAUUUUUAAAAUUUCCUGAAAUAUUAUUAGUUAACGUUUUAUUUAAUAUUGUAGAAUUGAUCAAUACAAUUUAUAAAAAUAA